RNAcentral lists this ribosomal RNA (399 nucleotides) under uncultured bacterium. RNAcentral describes it as "bacterial SSU rRNA". It matches the Rfam family "Bacterial small subunit ribosomal RNA", at positions 30 to 428 of the family's 1533-position model. The record is from RNAcentral.
AUUGAACGCUGGCGGCAUGCCUUACACAUGCAAGUCGAACGGCAGCACGGGAGCUUGCUCCUGGUGGCGAGUGGCGAACGGGUGAGUAAUACAUCGGAACGUACCCUGAAGUGGGGGAUAACGUAGCGAAAGUUACGCUAAUACCGCAUAUUCUGUGAGCAGGAAAGAGGGGGAUCGCAAGACCUCUUGCUUUAGGAGCGGCCGAUGUCGGAUUAGCUAGUUGGUGAGGUAAAGGCUCACCAAGGCGACGAUCCGUAGCGGGUCUGAGAGGAUGAUCCGCCACACUGGGACUGAGACACGGCCCAGACUCCUACGGGAGGCAGCAGUGGGGAAUUUUGGACAAUGGGCGCAAGCCUGAUCCAGCCAUGCCGCGUGAGUGAAGAAGGCCUCGGGUUGUAA